Non-coding RNA from Malus domestica (apple), 6083 nucleotides. NCBI's taxonomy places the organism in Eukaryota, Viridiplantae, Streptophyta, Magnoliopsida, Rosales, Rosaceae. The record is from RefSeq and is a predicted model, not a curated record.
AGAAAUGAAUUAAUUAGCAUUACACAUUUAAGGCUAUUUAAAUGUGAGAUUUAAAGUCAUUUAGGUCAUCUCCAACCGAUCCGGCCAUAAAGUUAAAAGGUAAAAAAUAAUUCGAAAUAAUACAAAAACUGUCACCAAUCAAAGAUUAAGUCAAAAAGCUCGUGGGCUCCCCCAGGCCGAAAAAGAAGAAUCAGAUCAACCGGCUGGCUCAAAGAGCCAGCCAGCUAGCCCCGGGCCGGCCUCUCUUCCUCUCGCAGGCAACGACUCAAGCUUCUCUCUUCCUCCUCUUCUUCUUCUGAUUCAUCUUCUGUCUCUCCCAUCGAGCUUUACGUUUUGACGAUCUUUAGGGUUUUGAAAUCUGAAGCUUCAAAACCAUGGAAGACGCUUCAAAUUCGAACCCAAUCUCUGGAAUUCGAACUCAAUCCCAGGCCGAGGGCCGAGCGGCAUCUCUCACUUGUAUAAAUACCAAACAAACGCAGCCCUUCAUUUGCUUGCUUGUCUGACCAUCUCACCCGGUUUUCGAGCUUCACACCAGACACAAAGACGCAGAAGCACCAAAAAUGGAGAAAGCGAUCAACAGGCAGCGUGUUCUGCUCGACCACCUCCGCCCUCCCUCCGCCGACUCUUCUUCUUCUCUCUCCAGCUUAUCGGACUCCGAUUUGCAAGGCGAAACGCAGCGGCCUCAAGGAUACUCAUGCUGAUGAUCUUCUUGCACCUGUUUUGAAGAUACCUAUGUUGUUGAUCCAAGGGUCGCGAUGACUUGUUCUCGGACCAAUGGUUGAACAAUUGCUUCAAGUUUUGAGCUUGAAACAAUGCGUUGAUAGUCUUCACCUUUAGGGUUGUGUAUGACCUGCGACAAGGUGAUGUUGAUGUGGGAUUUUGUUGAUUUAAGGGUCUUGGCAACUUGAUUUUGAAUCGAACGUCGUUAUAAGUUUUAAGCUUGUAACAAAGUAUUGAAGGAGUCGGCACAAGUGCUUGUUGAUUCUUCAAGAGAAUGCUUCAGCUUUGGUCGAAAGAAAACUUCGGCUUUGGUAUACGUUCUUCGAAGAGAGCUUUGACAGCGUAUUAGUCUUCAAAGAUUUGGCAGAGGUUAUCCUUUUGUGAGAAUUUCAGCCAUUCAAUGUAGAAAUUGUGGACCCCUAUUUGUGUUUGGGGACCUUAUAUUUAUAGACUUCCAAAGCUAUGCCUUUGGAUGGAUUUGACUUUGAUUUGUGUCUUGAUUCAUCCAUGGGAGAAUUUAGACAUGUUUUGUGUCUUAAUUUAGCCACUUUCCCUUGCUUGGUCAAAUUAUAGGGCUUUCUUGCCUAUUUUGUGAGUAAUAUUCAAUUCUUGCUUGUUUUGUGAAGAUGCUUUAGCUUUCUUUCGGUUUUGGGAGCAAUUUGGGUCCUUUAACGAUUUUAAGAAGAUUUCUUCCCAUUUGCCGCAUUUUAGGAAUGCUUUUGAGCUUCAUUUGCUUGAUUUGUGCCACAUAUCAUUGAUGACUUGUCCAUUUGUGAUGAGUCAUAUGCCGUGUGGAGCUUUGUUAUGCAUUAUUUGCAUGCAACGAAAUUUUCAUGUCUAUAGAUGCCCCCACUUCAAGGCGCGUUGUAGGCAUGUGCUUGUCGCAUGCAAGAAACGUGUUUUGAAGUCUUGCGAUGUGAAUGUGCUAAUUCAAGAGUCGUCGAGACUUGAUCUUGAAUUAGUUUGCUUCUUCAAUGGCUGUAAAGGCUUGAUCUUAAACGAAACAUUUCUUCAAGGGCCGUUGAGGCGUAUUUCUUGGACAAAACAUUUCUUCAAGGACCAUAGAGGCUUGAUCUUGAAUGAAAUGAAAAUUUUCUUCAACGGCCGUAGAUGCUUGAUCUUGAAUGAAAAUGUAAUUUUCCUUCAUGAGCCGUAGAUGCUUGAUCUUGAAAGAAAUGAAAAUUUUCUUCCAAGGUUGUAGAGGCUUGAUCUUGAAAGAAAUUUUGGAAAUAGAUAAAUCGGCACAUACUUAUUGUGCGUAUUGAUUUUCCAUAAUUUUGACAAAAUACAUUUGGUGUAUUUUGAAUUUUUUUCCUUGUGGUUGUAGGAGAAAAAAAAAAGUUGUUUCCUUCAUUAGGUAGGAACCUCCUUCAAUUUUGGUAAUGAGGGUGAUUUCCUUCAAAGUGUUGGAAAACUUUAGUAAUUUCCUUCAAAGCUUUGGAAAGAUUUAAUGGUUGUCCUUAGGUAAGUAGGAUUUGCAUUUUUUUCCUUUUUACGGCAAGUAGAGUGUUUUCCCUCUUAGUUUGGGAAACUUGACAACUUGUCUUUGCUUUGGAGGGAUUCCCUUUUGUAUUUUGGCAAGGAAAAGUACUUUCCUUUGAUGUUUUUGGGAAUUUUAAAGUCGUUUCCUUAUUUUUUUUUUGUUACCCUUUCUUCUUUUUGUUGAUUUUUUGUGCCAAAAACAGCAUGCUUUUCCCUUGUUGGCCGAAAUUACAUUGCCCUUUUUGCUUGGAAUUUGCUUCCUUCUUGCAGCUAGAAUGUGCUUCCUUGUUUUGAUUUUCCUUUUGGUAUUUGGUAUGUGUUCUCCCUAUAGCAUUAGGAAGCAAUUGACCCUUAAUAUAGGGCAAUUGGGUGUGUUUUUGUCACAAAACAUCCUUGUCGUGCACUGUUUUUGUGCUUGUCGUGCCUUGUAGCUGCUUGAAGAUGUCGUGGGUUUGCUUGUUGCUUGGUGCCGUGGCUUAUAGCUGCUUAGAGUCGUGCCUUUUUCUGCUUAGUGCUUGUUACAAUGCGUCACUUUUUACCGCGUGGUGCUAUGCAAAAGAUUGCAGCAGGGUUUCGCUGUGUAGUGCCUUUUGGUCACAGUUUCUCUUGGUGGUGACGUUGUCGUUCAGUGCAAGAAAUUGUUUGCGUAAUCGCUACGGGGUUGCAUAGUGCGAUUGCGUAGUAUUUUGGUUUUCUUUGCUACUGUAGUGUGCUUUGAAUGACCUUCUCAAGCUUUAUGGCUGAUUUCUUUUCAUCCUUGUGACUUUGUCAUCGUCAUCCUUUAACGCUCGCGAGGUUUGUCUCACAUGUAUUUUUCUUUAGUGAAGCAAUUUUUUUUUCUCCUUCUUGCCGUCCCACUUUUUAUGUUUAUGUUGCCUUAUUUGUUUUGUUACAGCCAUGGUAUUUUUCAAAUGCUUUAAAAGUAAUACCAUCACCAUUCUUGCGAAGGAAGGCAAUUCGCAAGAUAAGGGAACGACGUUGAAGCUUUGUGCACUGUUGACUAGCCCUAAGGCGCUUGUUCUUCCUGUAAAAGAUAAUUCGAUCCAUAUCAAGUCGUGGUCGUCUGAAGUAUCUUGGGAGGUGAUAGAUUUUGGUCGACCAAAUACGAAGAAGAAGGCAUGUACGUUGAGGAUUCUUAUCUUGAAUUCUUCGCACCAUGUUCGUGACAAUUCACCAUCUUCAUUUAAGCUUCUUCAUGAUUGCAUCCGUAGCGGAGCAAUGACUUGAAAUGACAUCUUGUCUACUAUUGGAGAGGCUGUCUUUGCUGAGUUUUAUUGAGAGUGACUUGAAGAUGUCUUGAGCCGAUCUAAAGAUAUGCUUACCAACGUAGGCCUUUAUCUCCCUGUGUACGUAUGUUUGUUUAGUUAUAAUCGUCAUCCUUCCGUCCUUCGUGUGUUCUUUAAGUAUUAGUGUUCAGUGGUUAACACAUUUCACACAUCAUAAAGGGAAAUGUCGAUUUCACUUUGGGAUCUUCACAAGAUAGGAGGCUUGCCGAUCCAUGGUAAGUUUUAUGACAAGGUUGUUCCUAGCGUGGAGGAAUUUUCUCAUCGCAACAGCAGAGGAUUUCUUGCGAAUUGUCAUUAUUUGUUUUGGGCGUAUCACAAGCUUUACCACGAUGCUCAGGUUAAGUCAGGCAUGAUGGAUCCGAUUUUGGUAUUGAGAUGCCAUGAAGUACAAGAAGCCUUCGAAGAAAAAUGGCCGUAACAUGACCACUAAGCCAAAGGGAGACUCAGACUCAUCAGGUGCCAUUGGUUCAGCUAGGCGCCGUGCCCCUUCCGAGUUGCAAGUGUUCAAGGAUCUUGGUGUAGCGUCAUAGCACGUGCAAUAAUUUUACCUAGUCGUUUUCUUAGCUUGUUGGCUUUGUAAGUUUAUUUUCCUUAAAGAUGACGUCAACUUACCCUAGAGUCUUUAAAGUGGCUAGCAAGAUGGCUGCAGGUGAAUCUUUCAGCCUUGCUAUUCCGGUCUUAGUCAUAUUUAUAAUGGCUUAAAUGUUGUUUCGAACUCGGCGAGCAUCGAAGAUAGUGGUGCAGUAUUUCCCUACAACUAUGUGUACGGUUGGUUGGGUGAGUAUUUUGGCACUAAUUUUCUUCGUCGACUUUUCACAAGUCGGGCUCUUCUUCAACAACUUUAGUCAAGUUGGGGCCUUUAAUGACAAAGUACUAUGGCGUGCUUUCUGCGUAGAGUUUUGAUGAUUUGCAGGCGCAAGCGUUGUUUAGAAGUUGUGACGGUUUGAGGAUGGACCAUUUGGCAAGAGUUGGCUCGACGCAGUGAGGUCUUAUAGAUGAUUCACACCUUCGUUUCUCAAACUUGUCUUACAUCAUAAGUCUUUGCUCGGGGUAUGUUUCUUUGCGGCAAGGAGACCGAUGUAUUGUUCAGCUGUAUAAUCCUUAUCGUUUCAGCGGACAGUUUGGUUUUGUCUAACAUGUGCCGGGUAAGUUAAAGGAAAACGCACGGUCAGAAUCUUUGCAAGCCGUGUAUAUUCAUUGAGAGUCUUGUACCCAUGCAUGCACAAAUGCUUUUAUCACCUUGUCGACCAAGGACGAGUUCAAGAGUAAUCUAGUGACCUGUGCUUAUGUAGGUUGGUGGUUAAAGAUACACCAUGAAGACUUAGGGACGACAAGUGGCACUAAUUAUUCUCAUUCAUGCAAUGAUGCAUUGAGAGGGUUGUUCUGCGGUUUCUAUGUAACUGGCACCUUUUGAUUGUGCGAGUACAGCUCAUUUGCAAGGUGGACUUGUGGCUUUAGCUCAUCAACAUCUGUCUUUGUCUUCUCAACAUUUCGAUGCUUCUGAAGAGGCAGGUGACGAAGUUGAUUCACAUGAAGAUGAACUUGUUUUGCAGUAGAAUCAACAAGUUUUAAAUAAGCGAUCGCUUGAAGGCCUUCAGGAUGAUAGGGACGUCAAUUUUCGUCAUAAGAAGAAGAAAAUGUUUAGGUAUCCUCAGUUUGAUGGCUAUGUGUCACUUGAGAAAGAUGCUGGGCCCUCUUGUUCUUUUGAUUUGGUGUACAUGUGCAUUCAUUCCUUUACGAAGAUGUUAUUUAGAGGCAACUUACCUACGGAUGAGGAGAUUAGGGAUCUGCUUGGUGUAAAGCUUGCUACAAAUCCGUCAAGUUGCCCAAAUUUGCCGUGUGUAGGUGUAAGUAUGCAAGAGCCUGUCAUGCAUCCAACAUCUUUGCUAGCUAGCUUCGAUCUCUCUUAAAUGGCCGAACCUUAGUGGCACUGAGCAACUCAUCCAUCGCAUCAACCUUCGCGCGGCUAUGGAUAUCAAGAGAAGAGGAUUUCAAAGUGCGCAUCGGAGGACCCUGCGUUGCUCAAGGAAGACUUAUUGAAGCUUGUUUCUGCGAUCGAUAACCUUAAUGUUGAUUCCUCAAUCUUGAGAGUCAAGAAUAUCGAACUUAUGGCUACCUUAACGAGUAUUCUUCUUUGCAUGCUGUUUCUUUGAAGAAGUUGAAUCCAGAGGUUAGAGCUCAGCAACUUGUGGCAAUGGACUUAUCAAUUGCCCAAGUUCGGUCUUCUCAGCAAGCCGUUUCGGAAGGUUAUCAAGCCACAAUGAUUUCUUUAGCUUCUGUCUAGGCGUGUCUAGAAGCAUUGGCGCGAGAGUGAAAGCAGUUGGAAAUCGAAGCAUCACGACUUUAAGGUUUUCUUUUGGAGCAGGAAGCUACAUUUUCUCAACAUCAAGAGGAGAUUUCGUGCUUAUAGCAAGAGAAAGACGCGGUUAUGGAGGUGCCCACCUUGUCCCCCACCGUCAUCGUAGUUUUACGAACAUAGCUUUCAAGUAGUGUCUUCCGUUCUUUGUACUUUAAGCCUUCUUUAUUUUUGCUCAUUUUGUAAUACGGCUUUGUAGCCAAAUUCUUCCUUUAAAGAAAAGUAUUCACAAUCUUGAA